RNAcentral lists this long non-coding RNA (758 nucleotides) under Drosophila guanche. The record is from RNAcentral. Lineage: Eukaryota; Metazoa; Arthropoda; Insecta; Diptera; Drosophilidae.
GGGACAUUGAAUUACCCUAGGAAUUGUAAUAAAAAGUAUACAUUUUUCAUUUACAACCAAGUAGUCCCUGCCAAAGCUUGCAUAGUCACUUCCAAGCGCUUUUGUCUCGCUCUCAGUCUCAACUAAGCAACAAAAUUCAGCAACAAUAAGGAAUAAUAUUCCAAAAAUAAUUAACCAAAAUCAUAGCAAUAAGCAGCAACCCAGAGGUAAGGAUAAACAGAAUCAAAAUAUUUAUUUGUGACACAUUUAUUUUUGUCUGUACAAGUACAGUUCUCCCCAAUAUGUUUGAUGUGAAGAAAGGUGCUCGCCAGAUUCGCUUUAUAUGCAAUGUGAUAUACAAUGAUCCAUUUUUUUGGGACCUUAUCAAGAGCUACACCAUCUUUGUGGCAGCCAUACCCAUUGCCCAUACAUUUAAUGGACUAAAGUUAAUGUCAUAAUUAGUUUAGGGAGACACUCUAAAAUAUUUCUGUAAAUUCUAUCAACAUUAAUGGCAAACAGAACUUGUUUUGGAUUGGAUUGGGCAAGGCCCAUUACAAUUCUAUACAAUUCUAUAUGAUGUGUUCAGGUAAGGAUUACAUCAUAAACCAAAAACUCGUACUAAUUGUUUUGCCUUUCCAAUUUUAUUGCAGUCCAAAUCCGUUAAAUCGAAACCCUUUAAACCCUUCUAAAAACGUACCACAAAUAAAUUCUUCUGUUUAAUCUGUGCCCCCCAAAAACCCAUACCAUCCAUCAGCCAACAAAAAGGGUAUCAAAACGGG